AUUGAACGCUGGCGGCAGGCCUAACACAUGCAAGUCGAGCGGAUGAAGGGAGCUUGCUCCUGGAUUCAGCGGCGGACGGGUGAGUAAUGCCUAGGAAUCUGCCUGGUAGUGGGGGAUAACGUCCGGAAACGGGCGCUAAUACCGCAUACGUCCUGCGGGAGAAAGUGGGGGAUCUUCGGACCUCACGCUAUCAGAUGAGCCUAGGUCGGAUUAGCUAGUUGGUGGGGUAAAGGCCUACCAAGGCGACGAUCCGUAACUGGUCUGAGAGGAUGAUCAGUCACACGGGAACUGGGACACGGUCCAGACGCCUACGGGAGGCAGCAGUGGGGAAUAUUGGACAAUGGGCGAAAGCCUGAUCCAGCCAUGCCGCGUGUGUGAAGAAGGUCUUCGGAUUGUAAAGCACGUUAAGUUGGGAGGAAGGGCAGUAAGUUAAUACCUUGCUGUUUUGACGUUACCAACAGAAUAAGCACCGGCUAACUUCGUG
This 484-nucleotide ribosomal RNA is filed under the name uncultured bacterium. RNAcentral describes it as "partial 16S ribosomal RNA". It matches the Rfam family "Bacterial small subunit ribosomal RNA", at positions 30 to 507 of the family's 1533-position model. The record is from RNAcentral.